RNAcentral lists this ribosomal RNA (55 nucleotides) under Parmelia saxatilis. RNAcentral describes it as "partial 18S ribosomal RNA". The record is from RNAcentral. Lineage: Eukaryota; Fungi; Ascomycota; Lecanoromycetes; Lecanorales; Parmeliaceae.
UUGUGGGAGUAUAAAAAAAGUAACAAGGUUUCCGUAGGUUGCGGAAGGAUCAUUA